RNAcentral lists this unclassified non-coding RNA (441 nucleotides) under Hevea brasiliensis (rubber tree). Lineage: Eukaryota; Viridiplantae; Streptophyta; Magnoliopsida; Malpighiales; Euphorbiaceae. The record is from RNAcentral.
CAAUAUGUUAUAACGACUGUCACACCACUAUAGCGGGUUGGUGGUCACUAUAGCAGGUUAGUCAGGAAUUAAUGCAAGAAAAGUCUCAAAAUGUUUCAUUAUUAUGCAACUUCGUUCUUGGGAAGAGAAAGGCCGAGUUGGAGAAAUUAUCUUCAAUUUUUCCACGAAUUUAUUCUGUAAAGAUAAUUUAAUUACCGCCCUAACUUUUAUUUCAAAUUCUUAAGCCUUAGAGUCUAGAGUGGUACUCAUAGAGGGAGGGGAGGUGAUUUGAAGUAAUGGUGGGAAAAACACUGAUUUAAAUAAAAUAAUCAUGAAUUUGGCCUAGGAUUAGGAUUAAGUAAUAAUUUGAGUUUAAUAAGGUCAUUGUUUAUUAAUUAUUGUUUUUUAUUAUUAUCUUACACCAAGAACAAGUCAAAGCGUUACGAAAAGGGGAACCUCAAG